Molecule: non-coding RNA, 1123 nt
Filed under: Deltaproteobacteria bacterium CG2_30_66_27
Lineage: Bacteria; Deltaproteobacteria
Description: bacterial SSU rRNA
Rfam family: Bacterial small subunit ribosomal RNA
Source: RNAcentral
UAAGUGGAGAGUUUGAUCCUGGCUCAGAACGAACGCUGGCGGCGUGCUUAACACAUGCAAGUCGAGCGAGAAAGGGGGGGCAACCCCCUGAGUAGAGCGGCGCACGGGUGAGUAACGCGUGGGUAACCUACCCCCAGGCGGGGGAUAACUACUCGAAAGGGUAGCUAAUACCGCAUGAGACCACGGGAUCUUCGGGUCCUGAGGCUAAAGAUGGCACCGGCUUGCCGGUGCCGUCACCAGGGGAUGGGCCCGCGUCCGAUUAGCUAGUUGGCGAGGUAAUGGCUCACCAAGGCUUCGAUCGGUAGCUGGUCUGAGAGGAUGAUCAGCCACACUGGAACUGAAACACGGUCCAGACUCCUACGGGAGGCAGCAGUGAGGAAUAUUGCGCAAUGGGGGAAACCCUGACGCAGCAACGCCGCGUGGGUGAAGAAGGCCUUCGGGUCGUAAAGCCCUUUCGGACGGGACGAACGCUUCGCGGUGACAAUCCGCGAAGUCUGACGGUACCGUAGGAAGAAGCACCGGCUAACUCCGUGCCAGCAGCCGCGGUAAUACGGAGGGUGCGAGCGUUGUUCGGAAUUACUGGGCGUAAAGCGCGUGUAGGCGGCCUUGCAAGUCAGGCGUGAAAGCCCUCGGCUUAACCGGGGAAGUGCGUCUGAAACUGCUAGGCUUGAGUACGGGAGAGGGAGGCGGAAUUCCCAGUGUAGAGGUGAAAUUCGUAGAUAUUGGGAGGAACACCGGUGGCGAAAGCGGCCUCCUGGACCGAUACUGACGCUGAGACGCGAAAGCGUGGGUAGCAAACAGGAUUAGAUACCCUGGUAGUCCACGCGGUAAACGAUGGGCACUAGGUGUGGGGGGUAUCCACUCCUCCCGUGCCGAAGCUAACGCAUUAAGUGCCCCGCCUGGGGAGUACGACCGCAAGGUUAAAACUCAAAGGAAUUGACGGGGGCCCGCACAAGCGGUGGAGCAUGUGGUUUAAUUCGACGCAACGCGAAGAACCUUACCUGGGCUUGACAUCCCUGGAACUCCCUGGAAACAGGGAGGUGCCCUCGAAAGAGGGAGCCAGGAGACAGGUGCUGCAUGGCUGUCGUCAGCUCGUGUCGUGAGAUGUUGGGUUAAGUCCCGC